This 996-nucleotide long non-coding RNA is filed under the name Salvia miltiorrhiza (redroot sage). RNAcentral describes it as "long non-coding RNA (SMIL_LNC006957)". The record is from RNAcentral. Lineage: Eukaryota; Viridiplantae; Streptophyta; Magnoliopsida; Lamiales; Lamiaceae.
UGCACGCAGGCAAAGGUUUCCCACAGAGACACUUAUUAUGGAUAAACGAGGUAUAAUCAAACGUCUGGAAGGUUCCGAGCUACGGAAUGGGCCCACAAAGGCUGUUGUAGCUGACAUUGAGCAUAAUAAUCCCGGUGGUCGACAAAUCCUUGGGAAUGCUCCCAUAAAUCUUGUUAUGGCUCAAAUCGAGGUUGGUCAACGAGUCCGAGAAGUGGAGGUUGGAGAGAUCGAAGUGAAAGUGAUUCCUGGAGAAAUCUCCGACAGCCAAGCGCUUGCUCUUUCCGAACAAGAAGGAGAUGUCCCCUUCUAGAUUGUUCCCCGAAACAUGGAUCUCGGAGAAGUUGGCAUUCCCCAACUUGCUGGGAAUGGGGCCUGAAAGCUGAUUAUAGGAGAGGAAGAGAUAGAUUUGAUGAUUCCUGAAAUCCGCGAAUGUUUCAGGAAUGGCGCCGGUGAGUCUGUUUCCAUCUAGAAGGAGGCUUUUGAGUUUAGGGAGUUGGGAGAGAGAAGGGGGGAUUGAACCUGUCAAUCUGUUGUAUGAUAAUAAAAGGAACUGGAGCUUUUUGAGUUUGGUGAGGAAAGCGGGGAGGGGGCCCGUCAGAAGAUUGUAUUCAAGAUUGAGGAAGAAAAGGUGGGAGAGGUUGGAAAUGGUGGUGGGGAUGAGGCCGGUGACGUUGGUGUUGCGGAAGGUGAGGCUCUGGAGGUAGGGGAGGUCGCCCACGGCAGCGGGGAUGGGGCGGCGCUUGAGGUUGGCCUCGGAGAAGUGGAAUACGGUAAUACGGUUGGCUUUGCCGCCGCAUCCCACGACCGUCCAUUGGCAGCAGUCCGUUUUGGGGUUCCAGGAGGCGAGGUCGGAGGGGUUGUGGAGCUCUUUCUUGAUUUGGAGGAGGACUUUCUUGUCAUCUGGGUGGCAUUUCUCUGAUACUGAUACUGAGAGUGAAACGAAGAGGACGACGAGCAUCCCAAGAUGGGAACUUGCCGCCAUUAAUUGGCUGUUUG